UACGGGGGGGGCAAGCGUUGUUGCGGAAUUACUGGGCGUAAAGGGUUCGUAGGUGGCUUGCUAAGUCAGACGUGAAAUCCCUCAGCUCAACUGGGGAACUGCCGUCUGAGACUGGCGAGCUUGAGUGCAGGAGAGGAAUGCGGAAUUCCAGGUGUAGGCGGUAGAAAUGCGUAGAUAUCUGGAGGAACACCGGUGGCGAAGGCGGCGUUCUGGACUGCAACUGACACUGGAGGAACGAAAGCCAGGGGAGCAAACGGG
RNAcentral lists this ribosomal RNA (258 nucleotides) under uncultured bacterium. Its description in RNAcentral is "partial 16S ribosomal RNA". It matches the Rfam family "Bacterial small subunit ribosomal RNA", at positions 524 to 776 of the family's 1533-position model. The record is from RNAcentral.